GACACAACGGAUGGAUAAGAUUUGUGAUAAGAAUUGUACGAGCCCCCAAUAAAGUGCUUUAAAAAACAACAACACUGCCUUGAACCUCUCCUCAGGUGCUGUUGCCUUUUAGCAGGGAACACCCGUUACCUUAAGAUCCCUUUGCUACCACACAUAAGGGACACAAUUUUAAUUAGUCACAACGAUGUCCCUCUGACAUGUAUUAUAUAAUUGCAAAUGGUUUAUCCUAUUUAAUAAGCUCGUCAUCUUGCACCCCCAUUUCACAGUAUAGCAGCAGUGACCACUAAGGUCUCUCCUGAGCCUGUGAAGCACACAAAUGUUUUUGUCACAGUUCUUGUGACAAAAAAAGAUGCUCCCUUCAAUUUCCCUUGGCUGUCCAGUAGCUGGUGCUCACUCUUGCUGACCUUCACACUUUCUAUCCUAUGUGAAAUGGAUAACAUUAUUAUACAAAAUUUGCAGUUUUUGACAACCCUACCACGUCCUGGACCAUUGUACUUCCUUUGCCUUAAUUCAGUGGCUAGUAUGUUUGAGCCAAGGUCCCUUUUAUUGGUGUGCAAUCUGCAUAAUUGCAAUGGCUGUGGUCUUCCCAAUUACACUCAGGGCAUGCGUACCUUUGCAGUGUAACAGCAAAGGCCCUCUUUGGAUUGUUAAUGUAUUUUGCCCCAGUUCUGUGCACUACUUGAGGGCCCUGCCUACUUCCUUAAUAUUUUCAAUGGAUGGUUCUUCCUAUUCAAGAUCCUGUCACGUGAAAAGUUCAUGUGUCGUAUUUUCUACAAAUGUCUUGCACCAGAACCCCUGUACACCCUCUUUGCUUUAGAGCAAGUACAUGCUGCUGUUCACCGAAUCCCCCUUCCUUUGGACUUUAAUGUACAUAAAAUGAUCGUUCAUAUAUUUUGUUUUUGUAUCUUCCAUGUCCCCGUAAUCCUGCAUGAUCCCUUCCUUUGGGAAUAUAAUGUGAAUAAUUAUAUUUGUAUGUGCACAUGUACAUUAGAAAAUGACCCUAUACCCCUACCACUGUAUUUGGACUCCUGCUGAACAAUGCUUACUAUUCAUGUUCUCAGCUCUUGAAUAGUUAAUGUGCACCAAGAACAAUGGUGGAGAAAACUGGCCAUUAGGAAGCAUCCUUGCACCCUUUGUAAGGCAUACUGACUACCUCAGGCCCCAGUUCACAGAUUGCAAAUGUGAAUAUUUGCAGUUAUCCAUGUCCCCUUCUGUUCAAGUAGGCCAUCACCCCCUCACACCCCCUUUAUAUAUUACAGGGGCCGCUGACCGCUGGACUAUUAAUGGACACAAUGGCAAUUAUCAAUGUUUUUGUUUCCCCAGCCCUCUUAGGCAAACACUCGACCUUCAUUUCCCAUGCCAUAAUAAAGUAUAAACAUGGCAGGAGGCUCUGAUCUUACCCAUCAAACUAGGACACCCAUCCGCUGCUCCAUUGUAUAAAAUCCCAAUUAUCCAUGAGCUCAUCCUUUAUAAAAGGUCUCUCCCCACCCAUUGCCUGCCCUCAACCCCUUGUUGUGGACUACUGCUAAUACUCACAAUCUCAGGUGUCCCUGUAUCCCGCCAUUGGAUGAAGGCACGCUCUUCGCGUUGUUAUGAGGGACUCUUGACUGGGCAAGGUCCUUUCCCUUGGAUUGAAAAGGUUAACAGUCCUCGAGGUCAUGGGUUUACUUACUUGGUCUUGCUGUAGUGCCUCUGUUGGACUUCCCUUGAUCCAUCCAUUCCCACAUACCCUUUGCAUUGCUUUUGAGUAGUGCUGACCUCUCAAAGGCCCCUUGUUGGAAUAAUCUAUGAACAGAAUACUAAUUGUCAUAAUUUUCUGCAAUAACCAUCAAUCCAAGAUCCCCUUACCACUUGGGUUGUUUGUGCAGUCGUGAUUACCAAAGCAAGAAUGGACUAGACGGCUGGGUCUUCACCUUUUUUUUCUGCAUUGUUAAUAGUUCCAAUUAUUUUCCAUCCUGGGGGCAGGAAUCCUCCUUGCCCACCUCUAUUAUUCACUGCUUCAGUAUACAAUAUGGUUAAGGAAACUCAGACCCAUGGAGUGGGAUUGCUACCCUUUAUUUUGGGUUUCAAUAUAGAGAACACUCAAAGUCUCAGGAAGGAGAUUAAUAACCUUUCCUGCAUUCUUCCUUCCUAAGGAAAUUCUGCUUGACCCAGAAUUUGUUCUCUUUUUGUACAUCCUAUGGUGUGAAUUGCCAGGAUACAACAGAAAAUCUUGCUGUUAAUUCUUCACUUUUUAAGAAAGACAUUUGGAUUAUAAGACUGAAUAGAUACCUAGUCAUUUAAUUUUGCUCGCUUGAAAAUUCCAUUUAUACCAGAUACUGGUGACCAAUGUUUCUCAGUUUACUGAGGGUGGUGAGUCUGGAUAGAUCACUGUGGCUCCUGCUAUUUUAAUAUUAGAGUUCUUGAGUGGCAAUAUUGAAAAGUUUCCUUGUUUGGGCUCUGCCACCAUUAACUUUCAGAGAAACCACCUAAACUUUCUAGUUCUGGAGCACCAACGAGGGUCUCUGUAAAAGGAGCGGGUGAGAGAGCAUGCUCUGGAAAAGCGAAGAUCGCCGUAUGUCAUUUGCUUAUUAUAAAGUGGGUGUCCGGUUUAAUGCUGCAACGCAUAUUAUUUCUGCAAAUAAUUCAAAGUAGCCUGCAGCGCCACACCAGGAACGGUGGUGGUCUUGGAAAUGAUGGGACCUGGUUUCCUAUUUAAUUUGAUAAGAAAUGAUCAUAAGCGUCGAUGGUGAGGUAGCUGCUUAGCAUAAAUGAAUAGUAUCAUGUGCAAAAUGUUUUGUGGUGGAGGAGUAUUUAAUGUGGAACUGCUGAAGCAAAUAGUCAUCACAACAGCAGUUCAAUAUCAUCACUAAAAACUGAACAGCCACUGUUCCUGAGAGACGGAUGUCAAAAUAGCUGCCCAACUGCAAGAAGAAUCUCAAGGCUCUUUAGAAUAUGGGACAAAUUCAGAGCUGGUUCUGAAGUACAUGCCAGGAAGGAGGAAUGGAUCGAUUUUACGUGGCUUGAAGCCUAUACUGGAUGGCACCCACGGUUAAAAGAGCAGUUUUGGCAUCCUUCAAAAUCACAACUCGGAUGUCAUGUCAGUGUGUUGAAGUCCAUUCCUACUGAACCUAUGGGACAGAGCAGAAGUGCUCUUGCGGAUUUCUGAUACUGUAACUCGAGGGAGCAGAAGGCCUUUCUCCCUCGCAACAGCUGGAUGCUCCGAGCACGUGCGACGUGACUGCAAACUGCUCUGAAAGCUGCGAAUCCAGAACAUCCUUCUGAGCAUCUGUGCACCCUCCUGCUGAUAGGAAGAGCUGGUUUGAAGACCACCUGAAGACAAAGAUCUUCCUUAAAAUAAUAGGCUUGUUGUCUUGGUGGUAGUGACCCAUUCCCUUUGACGAUCCUUUGGUGGAGAUGGGGCAUGAGGAUCCUCCAGGGGAAAAGCUCACUAACACUGGGCAACAACUCUAUCUAAUCCAAGAGAUUCUACUGAAGUGUUUUCCUGGCCCAGACAAGACAAUGGAAUCGCAAAAGACCUCCGCCACCUAUCAGAGCCCAAGACCAUUUCUUCCUUAUCUGCUAAAUAUCCAUCCUAAAAGCAACGAACAUGGGACUUCAGCAGACUCAGGAGAUUUAAAGACAUCAAAGGAAGUCAGCCUUUUACGUGAAGAUCAACAUGCCUGACACUCAAGCAUUUUUGAAUAGUAGAAUGAAUGUAUCUGUUCUCUUUGCGUCCAGCCCUCUCUUGCAUAUGUCUACUAUUGCUUAUCCAUUAUGUCUCUGUCUCAGUCUUUAUUGUCGUGGCUCUUUCUGGUGCAUGCAAUGUCUCCAUUCUCCCUCUGGCUACUUUCUGCUCUGAGUCUUUGCUUCCUCUUCUGUCAUUGCUCCUUAGAAUGCUCUGCUUUGUGCCUUGUCUUCCAUGUAGCUUUCAGGCUUCGUCUUCCCUGUGGCUUCUCUUACUCUCCUAUGGCUUGCUCUUCUUUCACUCUUGAAUGUCUUCUGAGCUACAUGUUGUCUUCUUUCUGCUCAUUUCUUGUUCUGCCUACUUCUCUUUCUCGCUACCCUCUCCCCUUCUCCUUGCUAGACUUCUCCUUUUUCAUUUUCGCCUUUCUUGUGCUACUUCUGUUCAUCAUCUAUCAUUUCUCUUCAAUACAUCUCCUCUGCCUCUCUUGGGCCAUUUUCUCUCUUUUCCUUCUCUGCGUGCCUCAGUGUUUCUCUGUUCUUUGUUUUUCACUUCUGCGUUCAUCUCUGUAUUCUCUUGCAUGUUCCCUUCUUACUCAGUAUGUCAGCCUCUUCAUCAGUCUAUGUCUCUCCUCUUUGAUUUCAUGUCAUCCUCUCACCUCCGAUAUUCCUGUGUCUACGUAUGUGCAUGUGGAAAAAGCUUCCUAACCCCUUCCCAGUAGGUGUGCAGUGUCAGCUAUCAAAAGUUAAGCAUCGCAGAGCUGUUUUCUAACUGCCAGGCUGACUGUGAGAUGAUCCGACAUGAAAAGAAGCCCCAACGCUGUGGACUGAAGUACAAUCCCACACCUACAAAAGGCAGAAGAUAGAAAGUUCAAAAUAAUGGAUAAAAGGCCAAAAACAGAAGACUGAUGGUUUGACACCGGAGGACUAAAAUAGAACACCUGUGUCCCAACAUAAAUGCGCUUAGCCCUGAAAGGAACAAAAGCCUGGCGAGCUAAGAUGGACAGAAGCCAGCUAGAGAUCCACGUGAGGCUCAAAGCAUGAAAGCCAGUAUUCAAGAGUCAGGGUUCAUGGAAGGUUCAAGAUUCAAGGAUGCAAGCCAAGGACUGUAGACUUAAAACAGGCAGAAUGCCCAAGGAAAACAGAUACCUCAAGAUCUGAGGCGGGAAUCUAGAGGCCUAGGACCCAGAACAUAUAUGAUCCCCAAGACCAGAGAAAAUACCAAGAUGGGAACCUUAAACCUCAGCUUUCCUCAGCUCUUUUCUAUCGCUAUACUUUUAGAUAUGUGCAGUUCUCCCCUUCUAGUUCUCCUAUCUCCACUUAGACCUUUUUUUUUUUUUUUUAAAAAAAGGUUUUUUUUUUUUAAUGUUGUGAUUACUUUAAAAGAAUAUAUCUUUACUUGAGGGCCACAUCAAAGAUUGGUGAUAUUAUACGUUUUGGGGGCAUUUCCCCUUUUUUAUUAUCAUCUCUGCAUUUGACAGAUAUGUCAAUAUCCAGUCAGUAUCCAGUCUGGAUUGAGCUAUUCCUCUCAGGAGCAAGCCUCCACAGGUGACACUGUAUUGAAGUCCUCUUUUUCCUCAGAAGCCAUAGGCUGAUGAGACGAGGGAAGGGAUAAGGCUAUGGAGGGAGGGAAAAGUCUCAGACUAUCUGGAAAACAUAUGAAGAGAUGCUCCAGGCCACUGAGAAGAGUAAACAAGAAACACUCAGAUACGCCAGCUUCCUGAGAAGCACCAGCUAACACCACCUAACUUCUUAGAGCCUGGGUGAGCAAAAGUCGUAAGAUUGGAUAUUUCUAUGGGUGGGUAUAGAAAGGGUGAUUGGGUGUAGGACAAUGUGAAGCCCCAACGACACAACACACACACACACACACACACACAACCUAAACUCCCUGCUCAUCCUAGUGGCCAAUUGAUGUGGUGGAUUCAUACCCACCUCUAGACUUAAAACAGUAAGAGGAACUGGGAAUAUUUUGCCGGUUUAAUCCUUUCCUUAAUUUCACCCCAAUGAAUGCGGGAAGGUGGCUUAAAGAUAACACAGAUGAAAGUACUUUUCGAGCUAACAUAUUAGAGGUAGCAUAUUACAGCCACAGAUAGCCUUUGCAAAUGCAUUGUAAGCUGUGCUACAUCAUGUAAGUCCGGAGUCAGCACAGCGUGUCUAUGAAAGGUCCCUUAAUAAGUAUUUUAGGCACUGGAGGCCACAUGGUCUUUGUUGUGAAUUCAGUCUUUAUAAUUCUUAAAAAGUGAUCAAUCCAUUCUUAGCUUGGGAACCAAGUGGAAUGGCCUGGGAGCCAUAGGUGUACCAAUCCCUGAUAUAUAUGCCAGGAACUGACUAUGCACUGGAUAAUACAAAUUUCCUCUUCUUUGCUUAUCCCUGUGCUAGGAUACUGGAGAUGCAGCAUGGUUUUUGACCACCUUCAAGUGGAUCAAGGAAAAAUACAAAUAUAUGAGUAUGCCUUGUAAACUACAAAGAAUUAUAAAAAGAAUGAUUUUCAGCAUUUGAUAAAAGCAUAUUGAUUUAUUUGUGCUCUUGUGCUAGAUAUUAUAGGCACAAAGAUUAAAAGAAGUAUGAAUAGAAAAUCCUUAAAAAUAUGUAAUACUAUAUACAUGUCAGUACAAGAUGUUGGACAGAUUUAUAUAUUGGUGGCCAACAUGUUUCUGAUGCAAUGAUUUUUUCAGUAUAAAGAUAAGAUUUAUAGUACUGCAGAUACCUAGAAAAGAAAACAACAUGUGGGAACUGCUUAGAAAAUAUAAAAUAUACCACAUAUGUAAGGAUUAAACUAUUGUGGUCAUCUGGGGGUUGCCACAUGCCAUGCUAGUUGGCUAGAGGUACCAGAGAGGAAAAACAAGUACUAUUAUUUUUGGAGAAUUCUAAAUUUCACAAAGUGCUUUAUAACGAAAAUACUAUACCAAUGGGCUGCAUUUUAUUAAUGCAUAUUCAUUACUUACUUUUCAAGUACUGUUUCUUAUGUUUCAAGCACUGUGGAUUCCAUAAUUAUCCCAAACUGUAAGUGAAAAGUUUAUGUCAAAGACUUUUUAGAUGUUAUGCAUUUGGUACUUGAUUCAAUCAUAAUUUUUUGAGGACUGUCAAAUGGAAUUAUUCCUUACCAUUAUUUUCCCCCCCAGAUAACAGACAAAUGUAAUGGAGGUAAAUAUGCUCUGAACCAUAAAGUGCUAUAUAAAUUAAGAUAUUACAUGUUUUCUGUAUGAAGAAAGCUUUCUGUGAGCUAGACAUUCUCUGUAUAAGUUUUAUGUACUGUGCUCACAGAUAAGACAUGAAAAUUUUCUCUAGCAUGUAAAUUAUCCAAAGGUAAUUUGCCAAAUUAAUAGUACUUAAACUGGGUGCUAGAGAUCAAAUUAAUUCUUAAUGUGUUAAGUUUACAUAAGUGAGUGAAUCUAUAUUGAUUUUUUUUUACUAUGGGAAAUUCGUAUAGGCACUAAAGAGCUAUACAAAUGAUUUCCCGUCAUUUCAUUGUGCUCCCAGCUAAGACUAAGAAGAUCUUGGCAUUUUAUGAACAGGAAAGCACCAUGCAAAUGUAGCUUUUACACAACUUGGUGCUAGAGCAUCCCAGUUGCCAUUACACUUUGGGGGAAAAAACCAAGUAGAAAGAUCGGUCUGAGGAAGGACUGUUAUGGCCAUACUACUAAACCCUGCUCAGCACUGGGGGUACAAAGAUAAACCAUCUGGAUUAUUUCCUAGGUAGAAGAAAAUAUGUGUAGAAUUGAUUUGUAAAUUGUAAACUGCUACACAUCUAUGAGCGAUCUCUGCUGGAUAAAUAUAUUUACAUACUUACGUUUAACUAUCAUUAAUCCCCAGAGAGCAAAUGGAGUAUGGAAUUAUUAUUAAGCCUAUAACAAAGAACUGUAUAUAUAUAUUCACAAAAGCUACUGUGCUACAUAGACUUAAGGAAUUCACUGUUGACUUAAUGAAUUCAUGCUGCUUAUUUGCUAUGAGAUAGACCAUUGUCUAUAAGACUGGUUUUCUCAUGGGGCACUCACAGAAAGAAAAGAAUUCAUGGAUGUGAGAUGUAGGCUAACCACUGCUGAGUUUACUUAAUGAUAAGAAUAUAGGGGAGGAAUGGAUUUGAUUCACCAAUGUAAAUGUCAGUGUCUUUAAAUACUAAGAUACUUAAAUAAAUAAACAUUGGCCUGGCCUAAUUUAAGAGAAAAUUUUUAAGAAAGGGAUUGUAGAUUUCCAGUUGCCUAUUUGCCAAACCUGGAGGUGAAGUAUUAUGCUAAGUGAAAUAGAUUUGAUCCCCAAGGCACUUAAUCUGACUUGCGGAAGAAAUAAAAGAUAUUACAUGGAAUUAUUUUAAUGAACUGAAAUGCUUGUAAAUGUCAAGGCAUUGGACCACCUCCUAGACUGAAAUAAAUCUUGAUUAUAUUGGAGAGUACAAUAUAAUAAAAAGUUACUUUCACUCCAUUCUGAAUGUAUUUUGUUGGAGUGUCUUGGGCUUAAGACCUCUUACCAGAUUCUUAGUGGAACCAAAACGUUUUUUAAUAAAUGUAUUCCCAGAACAUUUGUAACCUUACAAGCACUUUUCUUAUUAAAGGCAUGGUUUAGUUUCUCAUUGCUUUUUACAUUUAAACAUCUACCUCUCUGGCCACUAGAAUAAGCAGGAAGCUGGUUAUAUACUGAGCUUGCUCCUGAAGUUACAAGAAUUCUUAUGAAAAUAGACACUGUAUUUUUUCCCUCUUUAAAUAUGGCUGCAACCACUAUUGGGCAGGAGGAGGAAGGAUAAAGACUAAUAAAUUCCCAAACCAGAUUCAGGAAUAUGAAUACAUCACAUUCAAAGUCACGUAUCAGUUUUGUCUAUUUUUAAGUACUUUCUCUGUUUGCUGACCAAAAGUAUUUGUCGAAACAGAUUCCUUUCAGGCAUCAUCCCCAGAGGACAAAAUUGGAGAUGGAGACAUGAUUUCUCUUUUGCAAUUGCUUCUACCUUUUACCUUAGAAAUGCUACUCUUGCUAUCAGAACCUGCUCAAGAAAAGGUUUGGUAUGUUAGCAUGUCAAUGGGUGGUGACAUUAGCUUACACAUGUUACCCUGCUGGUUUACAUGUUAAGUUAUGAAUAAUUAAUUAAAAUUGGAGCUAAUUGGCAAAAAUUGGAGGACAAAAAGAUGUACAAACACUUUAAAUUUAGGUACCAGGCUUUGACCUUUUCUAUCUUUAAAUCACUCUGAAGAGGGUGGGCUAGGAGGAAGAGUGAAAGGAAAGGUCAAACCUGUUUGCGGAGAGCAGCCAGCCUUUGAUUUUGGCUGGGCUCAGUCUGAAUCAGGGACAUGGCAGUAAGUUUCGACUGGUUUUUGCUAAAAGCAUUAUUUGGGAGAAAUCGUUUUGACUGAAUGCUUAUAAGUUAAACUUGACUUAGCUCAAAGUAGAAUUUAUUAAUUGAAUCAAUGUGAGCUCUUCAUAAGGUGCCUUCAACAUAAGGUGGCCAAAAUUCACUGUAAAGGGUGAGGACGUUAUUUAUUGUUCAUUGUAAUUCAUUUCAAAGCAUCUAAACUUUUUUACAUAGCAAGUCAACAAUAACAUCCCUAAAUGGAGGAGGAAAUAAGAUUAAUGAAUGGCAUUGGACAAUUGGCAGAGGAAGAAAGUUUAAAGAGGAUCGGGGGUAAAGUUUUUGUUUUUUUCCUUUGUAUACUUUUAGUUAAGUAUCGGAUACAUUUGGAAUAUUAAUGUCUAGCUUUUAAUGUGGAAUAUGCUGGAUUUAGUAACACUCCCCCCCUUUUUAGGUGGGGGUGGGAGGUGCAUUGUUAGAAAGGAGAAAGUAACUACAAGCCUUCCUUUCACAGUUUCUGUCUACCACUCCUGAUUAAUCAAGAGUAAAGGACAUGUGACCACCACCUGCUUCUGAUGAAUGGAGUGAACCAAUCCAUUUUUAAGGAAAAUGACUUCAUCUUCAUUCUUCAUCAAAGGAAACUAUGCCCAAGUUCUAGAGACAUUUUGACUUGUGAACUCAUGUGAUAUGCUGAAUCUCUUUCGACCCUUAAGUGUGCUGACGCUUGAUGUCUUAGCAGAAGUACUUUUCUGACUACAAAUCGGUUUUUCUACCUUAUAGUUAGUUUAAAGAUAAAUGCUGACACUCAACAUGAGAUCUUGAACUUGAUCUGAAGAAACUAUAUUAAAGUUUCAUUUGCCCGAGUUACCCUAUCCCUAAGCAAGUAAAUAAUUUCAUCUUUAUCCAAAGCCAUAUAUAUACAUGUUACAAUGGAGAUAAACUGGGGAGUUUCUUGUCUAAUGGAAAAUAAAAUACUGUUUUAAACCUUU
Long non-coding RNA from Echinops telfairi (small Madagascar hedgehog), 9927 nucleotides. RefSeq lists it as uncharacterized. NCBI's taxonomy places the organism in Eukaryota, Metazoa, Chordata, Mammalia, Afrosoricida, Tenrecidae. The transcript has 7 exons. The record is from RefSeq and is a predicted model, not a curated record.